CAGUGAUAAACUGGAGGAAGGUGGGGAUGACGUCAAGUCAUCAUGGCCCUUACGACCAGGGCUACACACGUGCUACAAUGGCGCAUACAAAGAGAAGCGACCUCGCGAGAGCAAGCGGACCUCAUAAAGUGCGUCGUAGUCCGGAUUGGAGUCUGCAACUCGACUCCAUGAAGUCGGAAUCGCUAGUAAUCGUGGAUCAGAAUGCCACGGUGAAUACGUUCCCGGGCCUUGUACACACCGCCCGUCACACCAUGGGAGUGGGUUGCAAAAGAAGUAGGUAGCUUAACCUUCGGGAGGGCGCUUACCACUUUGUGAUUCAUGACUGGGGUGAAGUCGUAACAAGGUAACCGUAGGGGAACCUGCGGUUGGAUCACCUCCUUACCUUAAAGA
RNAcentral lists this ribosomal RNA (390 nucleotides) under Salmonella enterica subsp. enterica serovar Heidelberg. RNAcentral describes it as "bacterial SSU rRNA". It matches the Rfam family "Bacterial small subunit ribosomal RNA", at positions 1153 to 1533 of the family's 1533-position model. RNAcentral also lists the same sequence under 2 other names. The record is from RNAcentral. Lineage: Bacteria; Pseudomonadati; Pseudomonadota; Gammaproteobacteria; Enterobacterales; Enterobacteriaceae.